GUCUAUGGCCAUACCACCCUGAACAAGCCCAAUCCCAUCUGAUUUCGGAAGCUAAGCAGGGUCUGGCCUGGUUAGUACUUGAAUGGAAGACCACCUAGAAAGACCAGGUGCUAUAGGUA
This 119-nucleotide ribosomal RNA is filed under the name Pteropus alecto (black flying fox). The record is from RNAcentral. Lineage: Eukaryota; Metazoa; Chordata; Mammalia; Chiroptera; Pteropodidae.